RNAcentral lists this transfer RNA (67 nucleotides) under Amara communis. RNAcentral describes it as "tRNA-Arg". Lineage: Eukaryota; Metazoa; Arthropoda; Insecta; Coleoptera; Carabidae. The record is from RNAcentral.
AAAUAAGAAGUAAAAAUUUACAUUUAGUUUCGACCUAAAAAUUUGGUGAUUUAAACACCCUUAUUUA